Molecule: ribosomal RNA, 460 nt
Filed under: uncultured bacterium
Lineage: Bacteria
Description: partial 16S ribosomal RNA
Rfam family: Bacterial small subunit ribosomal RNA
Source: RNAcentral
CCUACGGGAGGCAGCAGUGAGGAAUAUUGGUCAAUGGCCGUAAGGCUGAACCAGCCAAGUCGCGUGAAGGAAGAAGGAUCUAUGGUUUGUAAACUUCUUUUAUAGGGGAAUAAAGGUAUCCACGUGUGGAUAUUUGCAUGUACCCUAUGAAUAAGCAUCGGCUAACUCCGUGCCAGCAGCCGCGGUAAUACGGAGGAUGUGAGCGUUAUCCGGAUUUAUUGGGUUUAAAGGGUGCGUAGGUUGUUUUUUAAGUCAGCGGGGAAAGUUUGUGGCUCAACCAUAAAAUUGCCGUUGAAACUGGAAGACUUGAGUGUGUUUGAGGUAGGCGGAAUGCGUGGUGUAGCGGUGAAAUGCAUAGAUAUCACGCAGAACUCCGAUUGCGAAGGCAGCUUACUAAGCCAUAACUGACACUGAAGCACGAAAGCGUGGGGAUCAAACAGGAUUAGAUACCCCAGUAGUC